UACAGGGGGGGCAAGCGUUGUUCGGAAUUACUGGGCGUAAAGGGUCUGUAGGUGGCCAACUAAGUCAGACGUGAAAUCCCUCAGCUUAACUGGGGAACUGCGUCUGAUACUGGAUGGCUUGAGUGUGGGAGAGGGAUGCGGAAUUCCAGGUGUAGCGGUGAAAUGCGUAGAUAUCUGGAGGAACACCGGUGGCGAAGGCGGCAUCCUGGACCGGCAUUGACGCUGAUGAGCGAAAGCCAGGGGAGCAAACGGG
This 253-nucleotide ribosomal RNA is filed under the name uncultured bacterium. Its description in RNAcentral is "partial 16S ribosomal RNA". It matches the Rfam family "Bacterial small subunit ribosomal RNA", at positions 524 to 776 of the family's 1533-position model. The record is from RNAcentral.